GGGUCAGUAGGUUGGUCGUGCCACCGGUACGUACUGGUCUCACUGAUUCCUCCUUCCUGAAGAACCGUAAUGCCAUUAAUUUGGUGUUGCGGGGAAACAGGACUGUUACUUUGAAAAAAUUAGAGUGUUUAAAGCAAGCUAACGCUUGAAUACAUUAGCAUGGAAUAAUGAAAUAGGACGAUCGAUCCUAUUUUGGUGGUUUCUAGGAUUGACGUA
RNAcentral lists this ribosomal RNA (216 nucleotides) under Glomeromycotina sp. Its description in RNAcentral is "partial small subunit ribosomal RNA". The stretch from base 40 to 216 matches the Rfam family "Eukaryotic small subunit ribosomal RNA", at positions 686 to 864 of the family's 1831-position model. The record is from RNAcentral. Lineage: Eukaryota; Fungi; Glomeromycota.